ACGGAGGGUGCAAACGUUGCUCGGAAUCAUUGGGCGUAAAGCGCGCGUAGGCGGCGAGGCAAGUUGGAUGUGAAAGCCCUGGGCUCAACCUAGGAUGUGCAUACAAAACUGCCUCGCUUGAAUCUCGGAGGGGGUCAGGGAAUUCCCGGUGUAGAGGUGAAAUUCGUAGAUAUCGGGAGGAACACCAGUGGCGAAGGCGCUGACCUGGACGAUGAUUGACGCUGAGACGCGAAAGCGUGGGGAGCAAACAGGA
RNAcentral lists this ribosomal RNA (253 nucleotides) under uncultured prokaryote. RNAcentral describes it as "partial 16S ribosomal RNA". It matches the Rfam family "Bacterial small subunit ribosomal RNA", at positions 525 to 777 of the family's 1533-position model. The record is from RNAcentral.